RNAcentral lists this ribosomal RNA (497 nucleotides) under uncultured bacterium. RNAcentral's name for it is "partial 16S ribosomal RNA". It matches the Rfam family "Bacterial small subunit ribosomal RNA", at positions 28 to 507 of the family's 1533-position model. The record is from RNAcentral.
GAUGAACGCUGGCGGCGUGCCUAAUACAUGCAAGUCGAGCGAACAGAUGAGGAGCUUGCUCCUCUGACGUUAGCGGCGGACGGGUGAGUAACACGUGGAUAACCUACCUAUAAGACUGGGAUAACUUCGGGAAACCGGAGCCAAUACCGGAUAAUAUAUUGAACCGCAUGGUUCAAUAGUGAAAGACGGUUUUGCUGUCACUUAUAGAUGGAUCCGCGCCGCAUUAGCUAGUUGGUAAGGUAACGGCUUACCAAGGCAACGAUGCGUAGCCGACCUGAGAGGGUGAUCGGCCACACUGGAACUGAGACACGGUCCAGACUCCUACGGGAGGCAGCAGUAGGGAAUCUUCCGCAAUGGGCGAAAGCCUGACGGAGCAACGCCGCGUGAGUGAUGAAGGUCUUCGGAUCGUAAAACUCUGUUAUUAGGGAAGAACAAAUGUGUAAGUAACUAUGCACGUCUUGACGGUACCUAAACAGAAAGCCACGGCUAACUACGUG